Molecule: unclassified non-coding RNA, 337 nt
Filed under: Hevea brasiliensis (rubber tree)
Lineage: Eukaryota; Viridiplantae; Streptophyta; Magnoliopsida; Malpighiales; Euphorbiaceae
Source: RNAcentral
CCAUGGACAAUGGUGUUUUAAGAUUUGAUCAUGUGCGCAUCCCAAGGAACCAAAUGUUGAUGCGAGUAAUGCAGGUUACAAGGGAAGGGAAAUGUGUGCAAUCUAAUGUUCCACGGCAAUUGAUUUAUGGCACUAUGGUGUAUGUGCGGCAGACAAUUGUAUCUGAUGCAUCCUCUGCUUUAUCACGGGCGGUUUGUAUUGCUACAAGGUAUAGUACCGUCCGCAGACAAUUUGGUUCUCAGGAGGGUGGUGUUGAGACCCAGGUGAUCGAUUACAAAACUCAGCAAAAUAGACUUUUCCCUUUGCUGGCUUCUGCAUAUGCUUUCAGAUUUGUUGG